UUUAAUUCAGAGUAAACAGCCAUUUUUUAGGGAGAGCAAAGAGGAUGAAAGGAUCCGAGAUGAGGAGAAGGAAGCUGCCCUUCUGUCAUGGUAUAAAAAAGGAAGAAAUACAUGGUCCACUGGAGAGCUCAGUGAAUCCUGGGAACCUAUUGAGGUUGAUGUUUAACUGGACCUCAAGCCAUUCCUCUCACUGCCCAUCCUCCUAAGUAUGAUGUAUGGCCUGAAGAAAUAAUCAUGGUGGGAACACAGCUUUUCUGAUGUCUGGAAAUUUUUGGAUAAACUAAGGAUUUGGAAGUUCAUCAUUGGAAGUAGGUACAUAAUAUUUACAUUUUUAUAUUCAACGUUAGGUGGGACCCUUGGGUUGCCAAAAUCAUUGCAAAAAAACAUGAAAUUGGAAAACAGAAUUUUUCACUUCACAUUCAGGAAUAUAUAAAGUCACCUAUCAAGGAAUGUACAAUGAGAAACUGUAAUGAA
Non-coding RNA from Rattus norvegicus (Norway rat), 474 nucleotides. The record is from RefSeq and is a predicted model, not a curated record. Lineage: Eukaryota; Metazoa; Chordata; Mammalia; Rodentia; Muridae.